RNAcentral lists this ribosomal RNA (482 nucleotides) under uncultured bacterium. RNAcentral's name for it is "partial 16S ribosomal RNA". It matches the Rfam family "Bacterial small subunit ribosomal RNA", at positions 28 to 507 of the family's 1533-position model. The record is from RNAcentral.
GACGAACGCUGGCGGCGUGCUUAACACAUGCAAGUCGAACGCUGAAGCUCAGCUUGCUGGGUGGUUGAGUGGCGAACGGGUGAGUAACACGUGAGUAACCUGCCCUCUUCUUUGGGAUAACGCCCGGAAACGGGUGCUAAUACUGGAUAUUCACUGAUUCUCGCAUGGGGGUUGGUGGGAAGGUUUUUGCUUGUGGGGGAUGGGCUCGCGGCCUAUCAGCUUGUUGGUGGGGUGAUGGCGUACCAAGGCUGUGACGGGUAGACGGCCUGAGAGGGUGACCGGUCACAUUGGGACUGAGAUACGGCCCAGACUCCUACGGGAGGCAGCAGUGGGGAAUAUUGCACAAUGGGCGAAAGCCUGAUGCAGCGGCGCCGCGUGAGGGAUGGAGGCCUGCGGGUUGUAAACCUCUUUCGCUCAUGGUCAAGCCGCAGCUUUGGGUUGUGGUGAGGGUAGUGGGUAAAGAAGCGCCGGCUAACUACGUG